CAAGACGUGGAGAAAAGUAAUGACCGACUUGAUUUUUUUUCAAUUCACACUCAAACGUAAUUGAUUUGCUUUCUGUUGAUAUUUCUGAGUCACUCGUGAAGACUGUUAGCGUGAAGAAGAUUUAGAGAGAUCAUCGUUCUUCACACUCGAAUUCGGAUUCUAGGAUGCAGCAAAUGUUUCCGCGAAGAUCAGAAUAUGCAGCUUAGGGAAAGAUCAAAGCUAAGCUCUGCACGUUUGUUUGAUGAUCCUUUCAAUCAGAUAAUACAUUAACCCAAAGGUUUUUGCAAAGUUUGAUUCCUCCAUGAUGUGUUCUGUACUGUUUAUGGUAACUGUGACUUGCAGGAGUGCCAAAAUUAUAGAAUUUGUAGCCACGAGAAUCUGCAAAGGUUUUGAUUCCUAUGUUCUGCAAGUCGACUAGAUGUCCUCUUUUCUUCCAACUCCGAUUGUGUUUGUUUCCUUUAGAUUUCGAUCAAAGGUAAAACUAUAUGUUUCUAGACCCCUAUCGUUUUUCAGCGUUGAUGUAUAAAGUUCUUUUGAGUUUUCACUAUACUUCUGUCUUUCGUAGUGUUGUUGUAAAUGGGUUUGUGUAGCAUAGCUGAAGUUUUGGAUAUAAUAUUGGUUGAUUCCAGCGAAUGCCGUAGGUUUCAGCUUUUCUGAAUUUAUGCAUAGACGGUUGGUUGUGUAAGUGUGGAACAGAGAAUGGUACUAACUCAUACCUUGUUGUAUCUGAUCCAAACCUUGUUGCAACUUUCAACCAUUCAAGAGUGUCAAUAGUAUUCUGAGGGAAGUGUAUUGCAGAUUUGGAUUCUAGGUUGCAGCAAACGGUGUUGGAGAUGUCUCUGCUAAGAUCAGCAGAUGCUGCUUACGGAAAGAUCAAAGGUGACGCAAUCGGAGAUACCAUUUCAGUUUCUGAUUAUGUUGGAGAACGUCAGUGAGGAUUAAAGCUUUGGGUUCCCAUUGGCUGAGCGGAAAGCCUCCUCAUUCAUAGUUGUCACCCAUAUGGCCAUAUCUGAUGGGCCGUUUAGAUCGUAAUGUGUCUUAGGAGGUUUCAUGUGGAAGGUUUUGUGAUAUCUGAUUCUUUUCUCCUCUGCAACUUCUUUCUAUUCUACAAGAGAUACAAUAAGAUGAUUAAGAAUAUGCAGAAAGGGUACAAGAUUUGGUUUUGAGGCUCUUAUGGUUUUCCAGUAGUAUAAGGUAAUAUGUAAGGUUCUCUUGAGUUUGGUUUUUGCUUCUUUUUGUUUUGGGGAGAAGCCGUUGUUCAGAACAUGAUUUGUUGCAUUUAUGUUAUAUAUUCGUGAAUGGAGAUUCCAAGAGAGGAAAUCAUUGGGCUCGUUUGGGACUGUAUAUAUGAUUUGCUUCCCUCCAUUAUCGGCAUGUUAAAGAUACAAAGGGAUGCUCCAUUGCGACUUCUUUGAGUCAAAGGAUGGCUUGAUCUAUCCUCAUUCCUCCUUUUUACUGGUGGAGAGAUGUUUCAUGAAACUAUGCGUAUUUUUUUUUUCUUUUUCAAAUUGAUAGAUUAUCGAUGUUUAAUGAGAGCUUAUUGGGGUUUUCCUUUUUAUGUAAAUGACUUGUAUCUUAGUCAACACUUGUGCUUCUUGCUCUGUUUUCUGCACCAUUACUUUACAUUUUGCUCUGUUUUUUCAGCGUUAGUUUAUGUUCUUCAGAUCAAGAGAAGCUUGCUGUAAAAGAAUCGCAAUUGAUCUUAUUCACUUUCAUAUGUUUUCCAGGAGUUGCUUGUAUUCCAGUGUUUGGUUCCUAAAAUGCAUCUGUGGCUUUUGAAUAUGCAGGAUAACUUGGGUUUUUAAUUGGUUGGUUCAAGCAAAAGUCGUCGCUUUCAAGGUCUUUACCUUAAAUAACAUAAGAAAUUUUCUUAUUUUGUUUUGAGAUUUUUCUGUCACGAGAAAUGCAUUAGGUUGGUUUUCAUGGAACAACUUGUACCCUUUUUGUCUUAUUCAAAUUACUACUCGGCUUUGAGUUGGAUAUGUCUCAUUUUACUUUUCUUUUUUUUCCCAUCAAAAUAAGUUUGCUGUCUACCUUUCCUGUUGUAACGUGUUUCAAGUCUCUUUUUUCUUUGGCACUCCAAAUUGAAGUUAUGUUAUGUUAUGCAGCAGUGAGAGACUUUUCUUAGAGUCCGUCGUUUACGAGGUUCUACCAAAUUGUGAGGUGAUACUGAAGGUUCUAUUGAGAUUUUGUUUUUCGUUGUGCAGUCUUUGUCUUUGACAGUGCUUUGAUUUUACUAGUUGACUUGAGGUGGUUAUGGUUAUAGUUUAUAAUCUUCAGCUCUUGAUUUGUCUGGGUCUGCUUCUUUGUGCGAGGUUAACUCACUUGUUAAGUACUUUGCUCUUGAUUGGACAGAUCGAUCGUCGAAGUGUUUUUCUCCAGACGAGAAGCUCUUUUAUCUUUCCUUUGUGUGUUAUAUUAGGCUUACUUCUUGGGGUUAUUGAAGGUUCACUUAUAUAACCUCAUGUCAUCAUUCACAUAUUCAGUGGGUAUAUUCGUGUCCUAUUGGUUAUUGAAGAGUGUUCUCAAAUCUUUUUGUUUUGUUGCGCCAUUGAUUUUAGCACUGCCACAAAGACACGUUCAUAUGUUUUCUGUUGGUGAAUCCAUGUCAGAAGGUAUAUAUACUUUUGAAGAGGUUUUCACAGGCCAUAUUCAUGCCAUUAUCAGGACUUGGUCGAAAUGGAUACUAUGAGUUGAUAUGCUAGUAAUUUUUUUGGGACUAGUUACAUUUUCUGGUGAUCUCACAUGAAUGAUUUGUUAUAGGUCUGCUGAGAAUUAUGGUUAUUGAGAAGUUUUCUGUUGACACCGCCUGAAGAUGGUAAAUAAUAGAUUUGAUCUCUGGGAACCAGGUUUAGUUUUUCUUUGUUAACUUUGGCUGUAAUCUUGUGGUUUGUGUAGAUGGUUGGAUACUAUGUUAAGAACGUUGCAUUUUUGUGUACUUCUUUAUGAAAGCAGCUGGCAGUGUUGUGUUGUACUGCUGCUUAUUAUCACUUGGUUCAAUUUUAUUUUUUUAAUUUUGGUGCAUGUCAUGCUUUGAGAUAUUAUACAAUAGGGCUUUAAGUUUAUGAAGGUUUGCGCUCUAUGUGGACGGUAAGGAUUCCGUAUUGCUUGCAUAUCUGUUUCAGAGAUGACAAGAUCUUUAUGGUUGCAGGUCUAUCAGACUUCUUGCAAUUAUAUCAUGUUAGUGCAUGAAUACAAUAGGCUUGUUACAAAUUCUAGUGACUAUACUUUCAGUUCAGCGGUUGUCACUUAUUGGUUUUAAUGGAACUCUUAGCGGUACUCAAGAUCAGCAGACUUGUUUCAACUUUUAUCCACUCAAGUGUGCAAUUCUUGCCCUGCUCUGUUUUUAUUCAUCUCUGUUCCCUUGUUCAAUGAAACUAUUCGUACUGGAGUUGUUUUCGUCUAAAUUCAAGUUAUUACUCGAACCGAUUAUGGGACCUUGUGUUUCUGCUUAAAAUCGUCCUAUAUGAACCUGUUCUCUCUUCUGUCGUUUCUUGAUUUACCAGGUUGCUCUUUCUCAGGGUUUCUGUUGAUUUUAAGGGGAUAACUUUUGAACCAGAGGUCGUUGAGCACUUAAGAAAGGAUAAGAUUGGUCUGUUUGUGUAUGGCGCUGGCUUUAUAUGUUGCACAGAUUUCUAGUUUC
This is a long non-coding RNA of Raphanus sativus (radish), 3643 nucleotides long. RefSeq lists it as uncharacterized. Lineage: Eukaryota; Viridiplantae; Streptophyta; Magnoliopsida; Brassicales; Brassicaceae. The record is from RefSeq and is a predicted model, not a curated record. The transcript has 8 exons.